Molecule: unclassified non-coding RNA, 324 nt
Filed under: Hevea brasiliensis (rubber tree)
Lineage: Eukaryota; Viridiplantae; Streptophyta; Magnoliopsida; Malpighiales; Euphorbiaceae
Source: RNAcentral
GGCUGUAGUUCUUGCUCAGGAGCUGGUGCAUCAACAGGUUUAUAUGUACUCAAUGUUUGUUGUCUUCGCCUCCAAAUGAACCAUAUUCCAGAAGCUGAUAAUCCAAGAAUCAAUGUAAUAAUAACGGCUAAAACCACCAGCAAAUAAUGUUGCUUCCACCAGGCCCGAUUUGCUGGAGGCUCAAUUUUCCAUUGAACCAACUGAUAACUUCCAAAGGUAUCAGGAAGCAGCAUGUGAUGUUCAGCAACCCUGGAAAUUAUACUAAGAGCAGUAGCAUUAGAAAAGUGAUCAGCAGAUCCUGAAGGCACUAUGGACCAUGCAAUG